RNAcentral lists this ribosomal RNA (376 nucleotides) under Eukaryota sp. RNAcentral's name for it is "partial small subunit ribosomal RNA". It matches the Rfam family "Eukaryotic small subunit ribosomal RNA", at positions 582 to 974 of the family's 1831-position model. The record is from RNAcentral.
AUUCCAGCUCCGAGGGCGUAUAAUAGUGUUGUUGCGGUUAAAAAGCUCGUAGUUGGAUUUCUGUUCAGAAUGGUCCGCUUGUCCUUUCGGGUACACGACAUAUUUUGGGCAUAUUUGUGGAGAACGCUACUACUCUUUAUUGAGUAUCUGCGACAGUUACCUUGAGAAAAUUAGAGUGUUUCAAGCAAGCAUGGCUUUGAAUACGUUAGCAUGGAAUGACAGUAUAAGGUUUCGGUUUUAACUUGCUGGUACUUCGAAUUGAGAUAAUAUUUAAUAGGAACCGGUAGAGAUUGGCGUACUACCGAAGGAAAGGUGAAAUUUUUGGAUUCCGAGAUGUCGAACAAAGGCGAAAGCACUAAUCUGGCAUGUUUUCAUU